RNAcentral lists this long non-coding RNA (412 nucleotides) under Homo sapiens (human). RNAcentral's name for it is "non-protein coding lnc-KIDINS220-12:1". The record is from RNAcentral. Lineage: Eukaryota; Metazoa; Chordata; Mammalia; Primates; Hominidae.
CAGGAAGCCCUUGCCUCAUAGUUCUGGAGUUCAGCAUAUGGAUUUUGGGGGAAAACAAUUCAAUCCAUAACUGAUUCAGUCCGUAGUAAGGUUUUCUGACAGCAAGUAUACAUGAACUAGUUGAGCUCUGUAGUCCACCUUUAACACCUGAAAAUGAUCCCACUAAAAUUCCUGGCAUGCGGCAUCCAGACGUCAGCAUUUCUGGGCCCCGAGGCUUUGGGAGCACGCAGGCUGUGGGAAAAGCAGGAGGGAAGCCUGGGGCUGCUAGGCUAAUGCCCAGGAGUGGCUGGACCAAGCUGAGUGGCAGCCUGCCCUAUCCUGAGAGAGCCAGUGCAGGAGACUCAACCGAGCAAUAAACAUGCCCAGCUCCAAAAGGCAGGCCUCUGUGCACAGAUGUUGUGAUGUUAUGAGA